AGAGUUUGAUCCUGGCUCAGGAUGAACGCUGGCGGCAUGCCUAAUACAUGCAAGUCGAACGAGAGGAAGGAAAGCUUGCUUUUCUGAAUCUAGUGGCGAACGGGUGAGUAACACGUAGGUAACCUGCCCAUGUGCCCGGGAUAACUUCUGGAAACGGAUGCUAAAACCGGAUAGGUAGCAGACAAGCAUUUGACUGCUAUUAAAGUGGCUAAGGCCAUGAACAUGGAUGGACCUGCGGUGCAUUAGCUAGUUGGUGAGGUAACGGCCCACCAAGGCGACGAUGCAUAGCCGGCCUGAGAGGGCGGACGGCCACAUUGGGACUGAGACACGGCCCAAACUCCUACGGGAGGCAGCAGUAGGGAAUUUUCGUCAAUGGGGGGAACCCUGAACGAGCAAUGCCGCGUGAGUGAGGAAGGUCUUCGGAUCGUAAAGCUCUGUUGUAAGAGAAAAACGACAUUCAUAGGGAAUGAUGAGUGAGUGAUGGUAUCUUACCAGAAAGUCACGGCUAACUACGUGCCAGCAGCCGCGGUAAUACGUAGGUGGCGAGCGUUAUCCGGAAUGAUUGGGCGUAAAGGGUGCGUAGGUGGCAGAACAAGUCUGGAGUAAAAGGUAUGGGCUCAACCCGUACUGGCUCUGGAAACUGUUCAGCUAGAGAACAGAAGAGGACGGCGGAACUCCAUGUGUAGCGGUAAAAUGCGUAGAUAUAUGGAAGAACACCGGUGGCGAAGGCGGCCGUCUGGUCUGUUGCUGACACUGAAGCACGAAAGCGUGGGGAGCAAAUAGGAUUAGAUACCCUAGUAGUCCACGCCGUAAACGAUGAGAACUAGGUGUUGGGGGAAUAACUCAGUGCCGCAGUUAACGCAAUAAGUUCUCCGCCUGGGGAGUAUGCACGCAAGUGUGAAACUCAAAGGAAUUGACGGGGGCCCGCACAAGCGGUGGAGUAUGUGGUU
This 950-nucleotide ribosomal RNA is filed under the name uncultured bacterium. RNAcentral's name for it is "bacterial SSU rRNA". It matches the Rfam family "Bacterial small subunit ribosomal RNA", at positions 8 to 946 of the family's 1533-position model. The record is from RNAcentral.